GCAUAUUCACCCAGUGCUUUUCCAGCUGCACUGGCUCCUGGUGGAGUACAGGGUCAGAUUUAAGGUGCUGGUUUUGACCUUUAAAGCCCUUCACGGCCUAGGACCCUCGUACCUACGGGACCGCCUCUCCCGGUAUGCCCCACGGAGGACCUUAAGGUCCAUAAAUAGCAACACCCUAGAGGUCCCGGGCCCUAAGGAUGUUAGAUUAGCCUCAACCAGA
This is a non-coding RNA of Podarcis lilfordi (Lilford's wall lizard), 220 nucleotides long. The record is from the annotation of a GenBank genome assembly. Lineage: Eukaryota; Metazoa; Chordata; Lepidosauria; Squamata; Lacertidae.